GAUGAACGCUGGCGGCGUGCCUAAUACAUGCAAGUCGAGCGAACAGACGAGGAGCUUGCUCCUCUGACGUUAGCGGCGGACGGGUGAGUAACACGUGGAUAACCUACCUAUAAGACUGGGAUAACUUCGGGAAACCGGAGCUAAUACCGGAUAAUAUAUUGAACCGCAUGGUUCAAUAGUGAAAGACGGUUUUGCUGUCACUUAUAGAUGGAUCCACGCCGCAUUAGCUAGUUGGUAAGGUAACGGCUUACCAAGGCAACGAUGCGUAGCCGACCUGAGAGGGUGACCGGCCACACUGGAACUGAGACACGGUCCAGACUCCUACGGGAGGCAGCAGUAGGGAAUCUUCCGCAAUGGGCGAAAGCCUGACGGAGCAACGCCGCGUGAGUGAUGAAGGUCUUCGGAUCGUAAAACGCUGUUAUUAGGGAAGAACAAAUGUGUAAGUAACUAUGCACGUCUUGACGGUACCUAAUCAGAAAGCCACGGCUAACUACGUG
Molecule: ribosomal RNA, 497 nt
Filed under: uncultured bacterium
Lineage: Bacteria
Description: partial 16S ribosomal RNA
Rfam family: Bacterial small subunit ribosomal RNA
Source: RNAcentral